RNAcentral lists this ribosomal RNA (479 nucleotides) under Pseudomonas sp. RNAcentral describes it as "bacterial SSU rRNA". It matches the Rfam family "Bacterial small subunit ribosomal RNA", at positions 30 to 500 of the family's 1533-position model. The record is from RNAcentral. Lineage: Bacteria; Pseudomonadati; Pseudomonadota; Gammaproteobacteria; Pseudomonadales; Pseudomonadaceae.
AUUGAACGCUGGCGGCAGGCCUAACACAUGCAAGUCGAGCGGCAGCACGGGUACUUGUACCUGGUGGCGAGCGGCGGACGGGUGAGUAAUGCCUAGGAAUCUGCCUGGUAGUGGGGGAUAACGCUCGGAAACGGACGCUAAUACCGCAUACGUCCUACGGGAGAAAGCAGGGGACCUUCGGGCCUUGCGCUAUCAGAUGAGCCUAGGUCGGAUUAGCUAGUUGGUGAGGUAAUGGCUCACCAAGGCUACGAUCCGUAACUGGUCUGAGAGGAUGAUCAGUCACACUGGAACUGAGACACGGUCCAGACUCCUACGGGAGGCAGCAGUGGGGAAUAYUGGMCAAUGGGCGAAAGCCUGAUCCAGCCAUGCCGCGUGUGUGAAGAAGGUCUUCGGAUUGUAAAGCACUUUAAGUUGGGAGGAAGGGCAUUUACCUAAUACGUAAGUGUUUUGACGUUACCGACAGAAUAAGCACCGGCUAA